AAAAGUUUUAUGCAUUGUGAGCACCUUAAAAUCUGGCUGUAAAAGUUCUGAAGAAUAAAUGGGAAUUCAGGCUCCAUAAAGCCUAUGGCUCCUUCAACAAAAUCACACUUCUGAAGAUGUCCAAGAGACUGUCCCACCACAGAGCAGCAAUUCUGAAUCUGAAGUCAAGCCAGCAGAAGCUCAGUUCAGCUAUCUUCACUGGAAGCUUAUACAGAUGUAAGGCAUCACAGCGGUGACACUUCCACUGAAGUCUUCCCAGAUAACAUAAUUCAUAGAUUAAUCUCCAGUGAAGUUUCCUGAAGAAGGGAUGCAUCCAAGCUCCCAAACCGUGGUGCGAGUUUGGGGAGUCACGCUGAGUCACCUGCCUGCAGGUGGGUCUGAAAAAAGGAAGCACCCAAAACCAGACCGAACUCAAACUGUGCUGAAGGGAUUAAAGCCCGGAGUUUGGGGUGCCCAGCCUGUAGCUCUGCCUGCCCCGCCUCGAGGAGCUCUGGAGCACACCAGUUGCCCUCGCUGA
Molecule: long non-coding RNA, 517 nt
Filed under: Calidris pugnax (ruff)
Lineage: Eukaryota; Metazoa; Chordata; Aves; Charadriiformes; Scolopacidae
Description: lncRNA (ENSCPUG00000016896.1)
Source: RNAcentral